AACUUUUUUCUUCUUCUUCAACAAUGGCGAGGUUCAUUGAGCUCUGCUUCUGGCUUUUCUCCUAGUCCAACUUCGUCCUCUCCACCAUAGCUCUCGUCGACGCCAUCGCCGCAACCCGCCGCCGAUUCACCUUCGCCCAAAACUCCAUCUCUGAUUUUCCUUCCUCCAUCUCUGUCGGAUGCUCCAAUUAACACACCACAUCCUUCUUCACCUUCGGCGCCACCGCCAUCAUCUCCGUCUCAAUCUUCGUUGGCCGACGACAAGCCUCCAAUUCCUUCUCCAGCGCCGUCGAAUCCGAGCGAGGUCAACCACAGCAACCUCGAACGGAGACGUAGCUAAGAACUCCUCUAGAGAAAUGAGCAUGGCAAGGAAGGCAGAGAUCGUACUUGGAAUGAUCGUUGGAUAACAUUCGUCGAUCUCAGUACGGAUACGACGCCAGGAGAGAGAUUCUCUGAAGAACUACUCAUAGUCUCUCAUACGCAAAAGCUCUUACAGCAGCUUCUGCCUCAGCUGGCAUAACUGUGUUGUACUUUAGUAACUUGAGCCACUGCAAUUUUGGAGAGGAAUGCCAAAAAUACCAUAUGGCAGUUGCAUUGGCGUACCUGAGCUGGGUAUUUCCUUUUGCCUUUGCGAUUGUUUCUGGUGAAACUGUGGACAAUUGGAGGUGGUUUCUGCAAAGGAUAUCGGAUGUCUUGCUAGGCUUUUUUGAGUUGUUUUUUUUUUGAAUUUUUGUAUGAAAUGGUAUUAACAAUGUACUUUUAUGACAUGGUA
Prunus avium (sweet cherry) is the source of this 771-nucleotide long non-coding RNA. RefSeq lists it as uncharacterized. NCBI's taxonomy places the organism in Eukaryota, Viridiplantae, Streptophyta, Magnoliopsida, Rosales, Rosaceae. The record is from RefSeq and is a predicted model, not a curated record.